This is a small nucleolar RNA of Cynocephalus volans (Philippine flying lemur), 134 nucleotides long. RefSeq annotates it as small nucleolar RNA SNORA64/SNORA10 family. Lineage: Eukaryota; Metazoa; Chordata; Mammalia; Dermoptera; Cynocephalidae. The record is from RefSeq and is a predicted model, not a curated record. The transcript has a single exon.
ACUCUCUCAGCUCUGCAUAGUUACACUUGGUUUCACCCGUGUGACUUUCGUAAUGGGGAGAGAGAGAAAAGAUCUCCUCGGGACCUCAGACUGGCCUCACGGUGGUCUCUCUUUUCUCGAGGCGUGCAACAAUC